ACACUGUGCAAUGCGCGAAAGCGCGACACGGGGAGCUUGAGUGUCUUGGCAUAGCCAAGACUUUUCUCAUUCCUAAAAAGCAUGAGGAAUAAGUGCUGGGUAAGACGGGUGCCAGCCGCCGCGGUAACACCCGCAGCACGAGUAGUGGUCACUUUUAUUGAGCCUAAAGCGUUCGUAGCCGGUUUUGUAAAUCUUCAGAUAAAGCCUGAAGCUUAACUCCAGAAAGUCUGAAGAGACUGCAAGACUUGAGAUCGGGUGAGGUUAAACGUACUUUCAGGGUAGGGGUAAAAUCCUGUAAUCCCGGAAGGACGACCAGUGGCGAAAGCGUUUAACUAGAACGAAUCUGACGGUAAGGAACGAAGGCUAGGGUAGCAAACCGGAUUAGAUACCCGGGUAGUCCUAGCUGUAAACAUUGCCCAUUUGAUGUUGCUUUUCCGUUGAGGGAAGGCAGUGUCGGAGCGAAGGUGUU
Molecule: ribosomal RNA, 469 nt
Filed under: uncultured archaeon
Lineage: Archaea
Description: bacterial SSU rRNA
Rfam family: Archaeal small subunit ribosomal RNA
Source: RNAcentral